RNAcentral lists this ribosomal RNA (429 nucleotides) under Acidobacteriota bacterium. Its description in RNAcentral is "Acidobacteria bacterium partial 16S ribosomal RNA". It matches the Rfam family "Bacterial small subunit ribosomal RNA", at positions 355 to 776 of the family's 1533-position model. Lineage: Bacteria; Pseudomonadati; Acidobacteriota. The record is from RNAcentral.
UGGGGACUUUUGGACAAUGGGGGAAACCCUGAUCCAGCCAUCCCGCGUGUGCGAUGAAGGCCCUCGGGUUGUAAAGCACUUUUGGCAGGAAAGAAACGUCAUGGGUUAAUACCCCGUGAAACUGACGGUACCUGCAGACUAAGCACCGGCUAACUACGUGCCAGCAGCCGCGGUAAUACGUAGGGUGCAAGCGUUAAUCGGAAUUACUGGGCGUAAAGCGUGCGCAGGCGGUUCGGAAAGAAAGAUGUGAAAUCCCAGAGCUCAACUUUGGAACUGCAUUUUUAACUACCGGGCUAGAGUGUGUCAGAGGGAGGUGGAAUUCCGCGUGUAGCAGUGAAAUGCGUAGAUAUGCGGAGGAACACCGAUGGCGAAGGCAGCCUCCUGGGAUAACACUGACGCUCAUGCACGAAAGCGUGGGGAGCAAACAGG